GACAGAGGAUGCAAGCGUUAUCCGGAAUGAUUGGGCGUAAAGCGUCUGUAGGUGGCUUUUCAAGUCCGCCGUCAAAUCCCAGGGCUCAACCCUGGACAGGCGGUGGAAACUACCAAGCUGGAGUACGGUAGGGGCAGAGGGAAUUUCCGGUGGAGCGGUGAAAUGCGUAGAGAUCGGGAGGAACACCGGUGGCGCAGGCGGCCAGCUGGCCCUGACCUGACGCUGAGGCGCGACGGCGUGGGGAGCGAACGGG
Molecule: ribosomal RNA, 253 nt
Filed under: uncultured bacterium
Lineage: Bacteria
Description: partial 16S ribosomal RNA
Rfam family: Bacterial small subunit ribosomal RNA
Source: RNAcentral